RNAcentral lists this ribosomal RNA (502 nucleotides) under uncultured Sphingobacteriales bacterium. RNAcentral's name for it is "bacterial SSU rRNA". It matches the Rfam family "Bacterial small subunit ribosomal RNA", at positions 903 to 1382 of the family's 1533-position model. Lineage: Bacteria; Pseudomonadati; Bacteroidota; Sphingobacteriia; Sphingobacteriales. The record is from RNAcentral.
GCCACGCCCGCUCAAGAAACUACGAAAGGAAUUGACGGGGCCCGCACAAGCGGAGGAGCAUGUGGUUUAAUUCGAUGAUACGCGAGGAACCUUACCUGGGCUCGAACGUAAGAUGACUGUAGGUGAAAGCUUACAUCUCUUCGGAGCAUUUUACGAGGUGCUGCAUGGUUGUCGUCAGCUCGUGCCGUGAGGUGUCGGGUUAAGUCCCAUAACGAGCGCAACCCCUACCUUUAGUUGCCAUCAGGUUAAGCUGGGGACUCUAAAGGAACUGCCUACGCAAGUAGUGAGGAAGGCGGGGAUGACGUCAAAUCAGCACGGCCCUUACGUCCAGGGCUACACACGUGCUACAAUGGCCGAUACAGAGGGCAGCUACCUGGUGACAGGAUGCAAAUCUCCAAAGUCGGUCUCAGUUCGGAUCGGAGUCUGCAACCCGACUCCGUGAAGUUGGAUUCGCUAGUAAUCGCGCAUCAGCCAUGGCGCGGUGAAUACGUUCCCGGGCCUU